AUACGGAGGGUGCAAGCGUUACUCGGAAUCACUGGGCGUAAAGGACGCGUAGGCGGGUUGGCAAGUCAGAUGUGAAAUCCUACAGCUUAACUGUAGAACUGCAUUUGAAACUGCUAACCUAGAGUAUGGGAGGGGGAGAUGGAAUUAGUGGUGUAGGGGUAAAAUCCGUAGAUAUCACUAGGAAUACCGAAAGCGAAGGCGAUCUCCUGGAACAUAACUGACGCUAAGGCGUGAAAGCGUGGGGAGCAAACAGGAUUAGAAACCCCAGUAGUCC
RNAcentral lists this ribosomal RNA (274 nucleotides) under uncultured bacterium. RNAcentral's name for it is "partial 16S ribosomal RNA". It matches the Rfam family "Bacterial small subunit ribosomal RNA", at positions 523 to 796 of the family's 1533-position model. The record is from RNAcentral.